UACGUAGGGGGCCAGCGUUGUCCGGACUUACUGGGCGUAAAGCGCGCGCAGGUGGUGGCGGAUGUGCCGUGUGAAAGCUCCGUCAGAUGCGGAGAGGCCACGGUAGACACCGUCACUCGAGGCUCGGAGAGGUCGAUGGAAUUCCGGGUGGAGCGGUGAAAUGCGUAGAGAUCCGGAGGAACACCAGAGGCGAAGGCGGUCGACUGGCCGAGACCUGACACUGAGGCGCGACGGCGUGGGGAGCGAACCGG
RNAcentral lists this ribosomal RNA (251 nucleotides) under uncultured bacterium. Its description in RNAcentral is "partial 16S ribosomal RNA". It matches the Rfam family "Bacterial small subunit ribosomal RNA", at positions 524 to 776 of the family's 1533-position model. The record is from RNAcentral.